RNAcentral lists this microRNA precursor (56 nucleotides) under Oryctolagus cuniculus (rabbit). Lineage: Eukaryota; Metazoa; Chordata; Mammalia; Lagomorpha; Leporidae. The record is from RNAcentral.
ACUCCAGAGAGUGACAAUCAUGUAUUAUUUAAUAUGAUUGAAACCUCUGAGAGUGA